This 2026-nucleotide ribosomal RNA is filed under the name Triticum aestivum (bread wheat). Its description in RNAcentral is "partial small subunit ribosomal RNA". Lineage: Eukaryota; Viridiplantae; Streptophyta; Magnoliopsida; Poales; Poaceae. The record is from RNAcentral.
CGCUCCGGACCGUCCGUCUCUCUCUCUCUCUCUUUGCAUGCGCUCUCUCUCUCUCUCCGUCUCCUCUAGCUCGACGGCUAGAGCGGGCGGUAAGGGUGGGGGCUACGCUAGAGCGGCGGUUUGGGAUCGUCGCUAGGGCGCGGGGUCGUCGUCGUCGUGGUGGGGCGGCCUCGGGGCCCGCGGCGCCGCAACUGCGGACGGACGAGGGCGCGCGCCGGCUGAUCGACUUCGAGUCGCGACGAAGCAUCGCGUCGAGGGCGGACGAGACGAGCCGAGCCUCCGCCCCGGCCGCUACCCCCGUCGCCUGUUCACCGACGACGGCGACCAGAGGCAGAGGAAGCAGAGCGAGUACGAGAAGGAGAGCCGCGAGAGCCCGAUGAGCCGGAGGAGGCGCGAGAAGCGCGCGGAGGGCGGCGGGAGGAUGCACGCGGCGCCCCGGCGGCGCGGGGGGAGGAAGCGGAUGGACGAGAGCCCGCCGGCGCCGCUACCGGCGUCCGAGGACGCGGACGAGGAGCGGCAGAUGGUGGGGGCCUUGGUCAUGGACGAGGUGGAGAGGCGCCUGCGCGGGCUCCGGCUCGCGGAGCUGGAGCGGCGGCGGCAGCGCGCCCGGCGGGGGCGUUAGUGUCGGAAGCCCUUGCAGCUGCAGCAGCCGGCGGGGCGGCGCCCGUGGGGGUACCCGAGGAGGCCGGAGCGGCGGUGCGAGGCGCGGCGGCGGCGGGACGAGGCCGAGCUGCGGCUCACCCUGACCAAGCAGUGCGAGUCGCGGCGGCUAAUGGGGGAGGAGUGGGUCCUGCUGGACUAAGUACAGAAGAGCAGACACGGUUCCGUGGAGUUGAAGUAGCUAGUGUGAUCACUAUAACCUACCUUUCUCAGAGUCUCUCACGUUGGUCAGUAUCAUCUACGACCCUAUAUGGACCGACCGUCCUUAGUCAAGAAGGUUAGGUGUCUCUUUGCCCGCUGAGGUCUACCAAAGUUUAAGAAGUGUCCAAGAGGAACCCAGUAAGAUUUGGCCGCCAAAUAUCUCAUGACGUAAAAGCCUACCCUCUUGGAGGGAGCUUGGGAAGAGUACAUGAAGUGGUUGCACUACGACGGAGACCUUCCAAUAAAGGUGAGCCAGCGCACGUUGAGCCUGAAGGCAUUGAAGUGCCACUUGUUACUGAACGCCAUGCACCGGACCCUGCUGGGCGGAGUCUACCUUGGGGCCAAAGAUUUGUAAUGUGUAAUACUCCUCUAUCACCUCUCGCCUCACGGGAAACGAUCCUUCAAGGCUCUCUUUCUCAUAGACAACCUGUCCUAACUACUCUUUUAUGAGGUCGCCACCGCAGUGUCUGGACAAGGACCUCGCACCACGUGUCCGUCCUUCUCUACCAAGUCACUAGGUACAAGGGUCACCUCGUUGCAGUUGUAGCAUUCUGGGCCCGGGGUUCGGCUCUUCAAGGCGUCUAUGUACCUGGCCUAGGACCUUCUUAGCUUCAGUUCGUUGUCGAGUACGCGCGUUAUCGUCGUGACUUGGCGCUCCGACGUACGUGAAAGGCCGUCAGCUCGCACAGAGUAAAACGUGUCUAGCUCGCCGAGAGGUGCACAAGUCUUGAGGCCGUAAAGGCGGAGGGCACCCUCGUAAAAACGACGUCGACCCAACACGCGUGUCCCGGUUCCACUCUCCCGCACGGAUAAGAAAGUCUCUAUAAAAACCAUCGACGGUACUGAACUUCCAGAGAAGAGUGACGACGCAACGUAGGGUCGUAACAACCUCCGGUCCCUCGAAACCCGACCCCCAACUAAUGGAGUCGAACAUCCCUCACAUUAAUCAUCGCUACUCAGCUUCCUGGAACACGCCUACAAAUAUCUUGGAACCACCUUAAGAACCACGAGGGUAUGCCUUAACUUAGCUCUCUUUCCGUUUUUUUGUACUUCCCACCCCUUAAAACAACCGGAACACCAAAACCUGACCAACGACAACACGAAUUGUCUUGCGAGUACCAAAAAAAAAAGAGGAGAACUUGACGUCUUACGUUGGUGUACACUG